AUGUUGUGUCUUUCUUCUCCAGAGCAAAGCUUUGGGUGGACAUCCUCCUGUUGCUUCUUGCUUCUGCCUCCAAGUAUGAGUCAUUCCCUACCCAUUUUCAGCUUCUUUCCAGUCACUGUCUUGCUGCUCAUUCAUGCUAUGGCAGCUAACUCCAUUGGUGAUGGGAAGGGUCAGAAGGCAGGACUUGAAACUACGGAGAUACACUGGAGAUGUUCCAGACCUGCUAACAGUCCCCUUAGUUAUGGAAGCAGCAACCUGUAGUAAAUCAUCCUGAAGGCCAAUGAAAGGUUUUUAACAACUUUGUUGAUGAUCUGGAGAGGGAGGAGAAUGUCGGUGACAUCAGUAGGAAAUGUUACAUUUGUGUGUGUUGCAGGCAGAAGAAUUGCUCAAAGGCAGAUGUGGAGAUUAAAAUGAUAAGGCAGAAUUAAUACAGACUUGUUCAAUUUUGGGAACUGUAACUGUUGAAAGGGGAGCCAAAUAUAUUGUUCCUCACAGCACAUGCAGUCUGUCCAGGGAACAAAAGGAACUGCACUCUUGUAAAAAUGGAAGUCCAGCAGACAAAUAUCAAGGUGAGAUCAGCUGUUGGCAAGGGAUGGUUGGUAUUGUUCCACUGACCUGUUACAUGGCUAUUGCUGGAAAAAGGUACAAACUGAGAGAGGAAAAAAAAACCUAAAUUAAUCCAAAUGAAAAGACUGGCUGACAUGGUCUAUGGCUGUGGUGAGAGAUACUGCUAAGUAAACACAGAUAUGUUGUUCCCCAACUGUGUCCAGCUUGGGAAAGAUGUAAAAAAGCCCCCAUGCAGUCUGUCAUGGAAUACUGAAAUAGGAGAGCAGAGAAAUGUCUGUGAACAUGGAUGAUGUGCUUUGUCACAGACAGAGAGAGUCAGAGUCUGCUGUUGGGAUAAACCACCAAAGGGCCUUGUCCUUCUCACCAAGAGUUACCUGCUGGAAGGAGAAACUCUGACUUUGUGAAGGAGGAAUUAAGAUCGUCUGUGGUCUUGGAAGCAAAACAGUCUUGGAAAGUGGGCAGCUGAGAGGCUCUCCUAUGGAAACCUUCCUGCAGAAGGUUCACUAACAACUCCAGUGUCUCAUUUUCUGUGGUAGAUUCAUAUUUAUGAAUUGAGCUGAUGUAUUCAGGAGGUAGCAGAGAACAAGCUUCGCUGUCUAUUUCUACCCUGCCUAGUAUCAAGGGAGCUUAACUUCAAGUACUAAUAACUUCUUCAUUUAUUAAGAAAAAAAUACGUGAAUACGCACAUACUGUCAUAUUUUGUAAAUAAAAAUCUCCUUGACUGUGGAAAUUUCUUCUAG
Molecule: long non-coding RNA, 1307 nt
Filed under: Phasianus colchicus (ring-necked pheasant)
Lineage: Eukaryota; Metazoa; Chordata; Aves; Galliformes; Phasianidae
Description: lncRNA (ENSPCLG00000009296.1)
Source: RNAcentral